UGUCAAUAUGGAGAAAACCUCUGAGGAAGGUUUCCACCACCUGCUUCAUCUAUCACACCAGGAAUGAAGGUGUUCUGGAGGAGAAAGGGGUCUAACCCGGUACUAACAAACCAAACACAUUACAAUACAAUG
Molecule: long non-coding RNA, 132 nt
Organism: Melanotaenia boesemani (Boeseman's rainbowfish)
Lineage: Eukaryota; Metazoa; Chordata; Actinopteri; Atheriniformes; Melanotaeniidae
Exons: 3
Source: RefSeq, a predicted model, not a curated record